Molecule: ribosomal RNA, 497 nt
Filed under: uncultured bacterium
Lineage: Bacteria
Description: partial 16S ribosomal RNA
Rfam family: Bacterial small subunit ribosomal RNA
Source: RNAcentral
GAUGAACGCUGGCGGCGUGCCUAAUACAUGCAAGUCGAGCGAACAGACGAGGAGCUUGCUCCUCUGACGUUAGCGGCGGACGGGUGAGUAACACGUGGAUAACCUACCUAUAAGACUGGGAUAACUUCGGGAAACCGGAGCUAAUACCGGAUAAUAUAUUGAACCGCAUGGUUCAAUAGUGAAAGACGGUUUUGCUGUCACUUAUAGAUGGAUCCGCGCCGCAUUAGCUAGUUGGUAAGGUAACGGCUUACCAAGGCAACGAUGCGUAGCCGACCUGAGAGGGGGGUCGGCCACACUGGAACUGAGACACGGUCCAGACUCCUACGGGAGGCAGCAGUAGGGAAUCUUCCGCAAUGGGCGAAGGCCGGACGGAGCAACGCCGCGGGAGUGAUGAAGGUCUUCGGAUCGUAAAACUCUGUUAUUAGGGAAGAACAAAUGUGUAAGUAACUAUGCACGUCUUGACGGUACCUAAUCAGAAAGCCACGGCUAACUACGUG